GCUUAACGCGAAGAACCUUACCUGGCCUUGACAUGCUGAGAACUUUCCAGAGAUGGAUUGGUGCCUUCGGGAACUCAGACACAGGUGCUGCAUGGCUGUCGUCAGCUCGUGUCGUGAGAUGUUGGGUUAAGUCCCGUAACGAGCGCAACCCUUGUCCUUAGUUACCAGCACCUCGGGUGGGCACUCUAAGGAGACUGCCGGUGACAAACCGGAGGAAGGUGAGGAUGACGUCAAGUCAUCAUGGCCCUUACGGCCAGGGCUACACACGUGCUACAAUGGUCGGUACAAAGGGUUGCCAAGCCGCGAGGUGGAGCUAAUCCCAUAAAACCGAUCGUAGUCCGGAUCGCAGUCUGCAACUCGACUGCGUGAAGUCGGAAUCGCUAGUAAUCGUGAAUCAGAAUGUCACGGUGAAUACGUUCCCGGGUCUUGUACACACCG
Molecule: ribosomal RNA, 438 nt
Filed under: uncultured bacterium
Lineage: Bacteria
Description: bacterial SSU rRNA
Rfam family: Bacterial small subunit ribosomal RNA
Source: RNAcentral